This 253-nucleotide ribosomal RNA is filed under the name uncultured bacterium. Its description in RNAcentral is "partial 16S ribosomal RNA". It matches the Rfam family "Bacterial small subunit ribosomal RNA", at positions 524 to 776 of the family's 1533-position model. The record is from RNAcentral.
UACAGAGGUCUCAAGCGUUGUUCGGAUUCAUUGGGCGUAAAGGGUGCGUAGGCGGCGCGGUAAGUCGGGUGUGAAAUCUCGGGGCUUAACUCCGAAACUGCAUUCGAUACUGCCGUGCUUGAGGACUGGAGAGGAGACUGGAAUUUACGGUGUAGCGGUGAAAUGCGUAGAUAUCGUAAGGAACACCAGUGGCGAAGGCGGCUCACUGGCCCGGUACUGACGCUGAGGUGCGAAAGCGUGGGGAGCAAACAGG